UACGGGGGGGGCAAGCGUUGUUCGGAAUUACUGGGCGCAAAGGGCUCGUAGGCGGCCAACUAAGUCAGACGUGAAAUCCCCAGGCUCAACCUGGGAACUGCGUCUGAUACUGGAUGGCUUGAAUCCGGGAGAGGGAUGCAGAAUUCCAGGUGUAGCGGUGAAAUGCGUAGAUAUCUGGAGGAAUACCGGUGGCGAAGGCGGCAUCCUGGACCGGCAUUGACGCUGAGGAGCGAAAGCCAGGGGAGCAAACGGG
RNAcentral lists this ribosomal RNA (253 nucleotides) under uncultured bacterium. RNAcentral describes it as "partial 16S ribosomal RNA". It matches the Rfam family "Bacterial small subunit ribosomal RNA", at positions 524 to 776 of the family's 1533-position model. The record is from RNAcentral.